CCUUUUCUGACUGGUGAUUUGUAUUUUUGUUUUAUUUAUUUAUUUAUUUUUUAGGUUACUACCUUUCUGCUUGUAGAAGAAUCCAAGUAGUUGGGUCUUUUUUUUUUUGGUUUAUAAUGAACAGGCAUUUGAACUGGGCAAACAGGACGACAGCAGCAGUGAGCAUGAGAUCAUUGCAUUGCAGCACUGUAGCAAACUGGCACCCUGCCUUUGCACCCCUUUGGUUCAGGAGACAAACGUGUGUAAUCCUCAUUUCUAAAGUCAGCACAGCCUGGAAGGAUUCCUGGUCUCUCCCACCUUCUACCAUUCUGCUGCCAGUGACGGCAAGGAUUGGUGUAGCUUCUGCGCAGUGCUUUGUGCCUGGAAUACCGAGAAGGAAGAAAAAGAAGACAAGCACCCUGGUCCUUUUCUAAGAAAUUACAGGCGCCCUUGAAGAAAAAAUCUGAGUGUGUCCUACUACAUGCAAGAGUGCUGGAAAAAAAAAAAAAAAAAAAAAAAAAAAGAGACGCUCCUGCUCAAAAACAAAAACAAAAGCAAACAAACAAAAAUCCAAACCAAAACAAACCAAAAAAAGCAAACAUUGGCUGUAUAACUACAGAGACAUCGGGCUUUGUAAAUCAGCUUUUUAAGGCAACAUAACCAAAUGAGCCUUCUUUAUUUUUAUUAUUUCAAACCAUAUGGCAUAAUUAGCAAUAUAUUGCACUUGGUGAAAUCGCACCUUUCAUAUCAGGGAAAAACUUAAAAUGGAUAUGAAAAGUGAAGAAAGUGAUCAUAGGAGAAAACCAUUUCAGAUCAACCACCUCAGAAGAGCCAGAUUCCACUUCUGUGGCCAGGACUUUUACAUUAUGGCUGGUCCGAUUGUUUUACCCUGCGUUCUAUGCUACUAAACCUUGGAUCAUUCCUAAAGUGUCUGAUGAUUUGUGAGCCUCAAGUGACUACUCUGUGGAAUCAUCUGUCCUUGCCUUUGAAUUAGCUUUCCCUAGGCCAUGAGUCAACAUUAGUAGUUUAUACAUCCAAAUUGAUGACAAGAGCACCUCAAAGGCAGCAGCCUCAAGGAGCAGCCAUGGCCCCAGACUUGUCGCACGGAUGCAGAAAACUUAAUGGAGGAGGCUGAGCAAAACAGAGCGUGACACUCCCAAUCAUCUGCAUGCUGGAAAUGAGGAAAUGGUUAUUGAAUGAUACAAGUGCUUUUCGAUCAUUUAGAAAGUUCUGUUUCCCAAGAUCUUUUUUUUUUUUUUUUUU
This 1242-nucleotide long non-coding RNA is filed under the name Homo sapiens (human). RNAcentral describes it as "non-protein coding MIR99AHG:95". Lineage: Eukaryota; Metazoa; Chordata; Mammalia; Primates; Hominidae. The record is from RNAcentral.